GAAGCUCUGACUUGUCUAGGCACUGCUCACCGGCUACCGCCUUUAGCUUUGUGGUCAUACUGUGCCUUUAGUACAAGGCACUCAGUGUUAUAAGUCUGGGCUGCCGGGAGAAUCUCCACCGCCUUGUUAUGGUUUGUUUCACUGGGACUUCCUGAGGGGGAAAGGGAAAGUGUCCCUUGGGACGUCUGCCGGAGGUUGUAACCUAGUCAGGCUUGGUCAGCUAACCAGGGAGCCUGGAGGACGAAUUCUUGGAAUCUGGACUGAGCCCAGCUGACCUUCACUUGUGCUGUUGGGGGUGGAAAGUGAGCUGGAGUGCAGAGUCUCAGUCACUCUGCAUUUCUGAGGCCCCGUCUAUGAAAUACCGGCCCCCGGGAGACAGACUGCAAGCCGUCCUGUGCGGUGAUUCUUAUAGGAUGGUUUUUUGGUGCCACCUGCUGGUUGAUUGGAGUCCUGGCGGCCAUCAGGCGGCCUAAGAACUGGGAUUACAGACACGUAUCACCACACCCAGCAUACAGUAUAUGCUUAAAACAGCCAAGUAAGAGCUGUCAAUUGGGUGGGAUGACUGUUGAUCUUAUGAUAAUGUGUAUGAUAAACACUUCACCUUAAAUCAUAAACAUUUACUGAGUUUAUGUACUGGUCGACCACAGUCAUAUGUAUCAACCAACUUUUCAUCCAGUACUAUAAAGAAAUGCCUCAGGCAGGCUCCAUAAUAAAGCAAAGUUUAUUUAGUUCAGGUUUUAAAUGUUGGAUGAGAGCUCCACUUGGCUGCAUCAUGUUAUGGAGGAGUAUGCAUUUCUGUGUGUACCCAGGUGACAGACCAGACCAGCUGAUCAUAACAGUUUAGGUACAUGUGUGCAGGUGUGUGCACACACAUAUGUCCCUGUGUGUGUAUACAUGUAGAAGUUAAAGGCCAGUGUUGGAUUUCUUGCUUGAUCACAUUCUGCCUUCUUUUUUUUGAAACAGGCCUCUCACUGUCCCCGAUGCUCACCAUGUCUGAAAGCCCCAGGUAUCCUCCUGUUUCCCCUUCCAGCUUGGACAUUACAGGGACUUCGUGGAUUUGGGCACAAUAGUGACUGUGACUCACAAGUACAGGAGGGGCCAGGGAGAUGGCUCAGCAGGUAAAGGUGCUUGCAGCUAAAGCCUGUGGACUGGAGUUUGGUCUACAGGAUCCACAAAGCGGAAAGAACUCACUUGGGCAGUUGUCCUCUGACAGUCAUAUAUGUGAAAUGUGGCAUGUACCCCUGUGAAUUUAAGAAAAUUAUGAUUUGGCAAAUUGUGUGUUUAUUGUUAAUUCCACUCUAAAAUUAUGGUAUUAACUGGUUAAUGUUUGUAACUGCUUUAGUUCACCAUAAGAUGUUAAAAAAGCUUGACAUUUCCUAUAAAUGCUUAGAUUUGACAUCUUUGCUAAGAAAUUUAAAAUUUGAUACAGCUAAAAAUUGUUUAAAAAACACUCUAGACCAAUUUAAAAGGGCAUUUCCAACCCUGGUGAUACUAAAUUCCUUUAAUUAAUAGAUUGCAGCCUUAGGAGCACGUAUUUUCACAAAACAUUAUCUAAUUACAAAUAAAUUCUCUUUCCAAAAAAAAUUGGCUCAGCGACACAGAGUCCAGAGGUACUUUCUCCCUUAACC
Molecule: long non-coding RNA, 1628 nt
Organism: Alexandromys fortis (reed vole)
Lineage: Eukaryota; Metazoa; Chordata; Mammalia; Rodentia; Cricetidae
Exons: 4
Source: RefSeq, a predicted model, not a curated record